AACGCAUAUGGCACCUUUUGGUUCAUACUAAAAGGUAUGCCUGUUUGAGAAUCAUUUAUCCUUUAUUGAUCCAUUUGAUCAUUACAUUUGAUUGUGAAUGAAUGAAUGGUAUCAGACAUGGGCAUUCAUCAUUGAUUGUCUUGAAUUGUGUAAAUAAUGUGAUUGUGUUGUGAUAAACAGAAAUGUAUGAAAUGAAUAAAUGAAUCUGGUGAUUGUUCAUUAUGAAUGAUUAUUUUGUCAUUUGUUUCUUCAUCCAUUGAUCAACCAAUCACAUCCUUUUCUUUUUGUUGAUGAUCUCAAAUCAGGCAAGACUACCCGCUGAACUUAA
This 328-nucleotide unclassified non-coding RNA is filed under the name uncultured fungus. Its description in RNAcentral is "partial contains 5.8S ribosomal RNA, internal transcribed spacer 2, and large subunit ribosomal RNA". Lineage: Eukaryota; Fungi. The record is from RNAcentral.